Molecule: ribosomal RNA, 207 nt
Filed under: uncultured bacterium
Lineage: Bacteria
Description: partial 16S ribosomal RNA
Rfam family: Bacterial small subunit ribosomal RNA
Source: RNAcentral
CGCGCAGGCGGCCAGGUCAGUCGAAUGUGAAAGCCCCCGGCUCAACUGGGGAGGGUCAUUCGAUACUGCCUGGCUUGAAGAUAGGAGAGGGAAGCGGAAUUUCAGGUGUAGUGGUGAAAUGCGUAGAUAUCUGAAGGAACACCAGUGGCGAAGGCGGCUUUCUGGCCUACUCUUGACGCUGAGGCGCGAAAGCUAGGGGAGCGAACG